Drosophila willistoni is the source of this 305-nucleotide long non-coding RNA. RefSeq lists it as uncharacterized. NCBI's taxonomy places the organism in Eukaryota, Metazoa, Arthropoda, Insecta, Diptera, Drosophilidae. The transcript is spliced from 3 exons. The record is from RefSeq and is a predicted model, not a curated record.
UGCAUCAGUCUAAUAUUAUUUAUAUUCACAAGCAAUUACACAACUUAUGAAUUCUCUAAAAAGAAAAUACGCCAACCUGACCAUAGGGGACCUACCUAAAAAAAGAGCUCUUCUUUUACGAUAAGGACUACGGGCAGAUUACACCUACUGGAGUUUUAGUGGGACUAAUACAUUACGACGAGAGAUGUAGCGGCGGCACGUUUUACAAGAAUAAGAUUAAUUAUAAUAAAAAAAGAACAAACGAUAUUAUUAAUAUAGAGACUCGAUAUUGGCAAACAAAAAAACGAGGCUCAUUCGAACGAUUA